GUCGAGCGAUCUUCUUCGGAAGAGAGCGGCGGACGGGUGAGUAACGCGUGGGUAACCUGCCCUGUACACACGGAUAACAUACCGAAAGGUAUGCUAAUACGGGAUAACAUAAGAAAUUCGCAUGUUUUUCUUAUCAAAGCUCCGGCGGUACAGGAUGGACCCGCGUCUGAUUAGCUAGUUGGUGAGGUAACGGCUCACCAAGGCGACGAUCAGUAGCCGACCUGAGAGGGUGAUCGGCCACAUUGGAACUGAGACACGGUCCAAACUCCUACGGGAGGCAGCAGUGGGGAAUAUUGCACAAUGGGCGAAAGCCUGAUGCAGCAACGCCGCGUGAGCGAUGAAGGCCUUCGGGUCGUAAAGCUCUGUCCUCAAGGAAGAUAAUGACGGUACUUGAGGAGGAAGCCCCGGCUAACUACGUGCCAGCAGCCGCGGUAAUACGUAGGGGGCUAGCGUUAUCCGGAUUUACUGGGCGUAAAGGGUGCGUAGGCGGUCUUUUAAGUCAGGAGUGAAAGGCUACGGCUCAACCGUAGUAAGCUCUUGAAACUGGAGGACUUGAGUGCAGGAGAGGAGAGUGGAAUUCCUAGUGUAGCGGUGAAAUGCGUAGAUAUUAGGAGGAACACCAGUAGCGAAGGCGGCUCUCUGGACUGUAACUGACGCUGAGGCACGAAAGCGUGGAGAGCAAACAGGAUUAGAUACCCUGGUAGUCCACGCCGUAAACGAUGAGUACUAGCUGUCGGAGGUUACCCCCUUCGGUGGCGCAGCUAACGCAUUAAGUACUCCGCCCGGGGAGUACGCUCGCAAGAGUGAAACUCAAAGGAAUUGACGGGGACCCGCACAAGUAGCGGAGCAUGUGGUUUAAUU
Molecule: ribosomal RNA, 861 nt
Filed under: uncultured bacterium
Lineage: Bacteria
Description: bacterial SSU rRNA
Rfam family: Bacterial small subunit ribosomal RNA
Source: RNAcentral